AUACCUACAGCUACACCACUACCAGAAAACUACGACACGGCACUACGAGCGAUCCGAGAUGCCCCGAGGAGAGCUGGUGUUCUUUUCUUUUUUUUUUUUCAUCUGGUCCUUUCAUUUUCAAACUACGAUAUUUCCUUUUUUCAAUUCAUUAACUGCUGUUGAAAAGGCAAAAACGCCUAUUUAACGCCGAUGGAGGGAGGGGAAAUCCUAUACCCGCGAGAUUCUUGAGAUCAUUAAACCUUCGGACUUGUCUGUAUUCAACAUUCCGCCCGAUACGCGCGCUUACGCGAUUAUUAUUCUACCGGGUAGGAAGGAUACAGACUUCGGAACGCCGGUGUACCAGACUUUCGGCUAGACUGUUUUUUUAUUCCUAUUUUCGUUUCUACCAAUCGAUGAUAUCACGGACCAUCGCGCCCUCCGUCCCGAUAUGUGUGUGUGUGCGUGUACGAUAUCUACCUACACAAUUUCAUCGCUCUGCGCCGCACGCCCGGCAAUCCGAUGACGAUGCGAUGCGUGGAAUUUGAAUGUAGAGGUGGGAUGCGAUUAUUCUACGAGGGCUACGAACCCGCCGCCUACCGCGACGUAAUCUCUUUGUAAACGCUUCCGUUCUAACCUGAACAAGAAAAUGCGAUCCUGUCACGCCGCAACAACCGGUAACAAGCGACACGAGUAGCUACACACACAAGUCAUUGUUGAUUCUACGUAUCAACAAUGUCGCCGAUUAUGACGCGUGUUUAAUAAAUAAAAGAAAGAGAAUCUCCGUACGUCAAAAUUUAUACACCCGUCAUAAAUUCCUCUUGUUUAUAAUCGGAACAGCAGUCGUCUCUUCACUUGUCACUUCUGUUUAUCAUCCAAGUUAGGAAUGUUUAGAGAUUUAAGAACAUGAUUAAUUGAUAAUAUUGAAAUGCUUGAACAUUGUUUUCAUUUUUAUCUGGAGUAUGUGAUCAACUGUCGAAUCGAGGUUAUCCUUUCGUAAUAGUUGAUUAACUAGAGUCGAAAGUUUAAGAGGAUAAGUGAUGCAUGAGUGUUACCAUUAAUACGCACCGACAGUCCACACGUGCGCCUAUCAUAAAUGGAUGCACACGCCAACUGCCAACUGUCAAGGGUCGUAAAACGAGGCGUGCAUCUCAAGGUCGUCCAGCCCUCUAUUGGCUCAUCCAGCAAUUCUAUGGCCAAUCAACGGUAGUCGGUCACCAAAUGUCAUCAUGGCAGGGCACUGGUCCACAGACUGACCUUCGGAGGGGAAACGAUGACGAGUCAUGACGUCACCGUAAUACUACACCCGACAUCACGGUGGUGCUCAACCGUGAAAACGUGUAGAAAAACGUGCUGCCAUAAGCCGUUCGUUAACCACCAGUGGGAAUUUGCAUGAAUGGUGGGUCGUUCUUGAUUCUUGUUGGACGGGGCGUGUGUAUUAUCCGGUUAUCCGUUUGAAAAAUGAAUUUCAUUCGGCGUAGAAGUGAGAUCUACCAAGUGCAAAUCUAGAAUUAGGUAAUAAAAACUGUUUAAAUUUGAAAAAUAUUAUCUGACAGGCACCGAUUCAACUUACACGUCAUAUAACCUCACACAAUUUUGUAGACAAUUUUUGUGGGUAAGAAUACUUUCGAGUACAGCGUCUACUACAACAAUGAAUAGUAUUUUCAAAAGUGAUUAAUAUAUGCAGUGAGGUAAUUGUAUGGUAAUUGUGAGUUCCAUGUUAUAUUAUGUUAUGUUGGACUUGUAAGUUAAGUAAUCAAGGACACAGUGGAUGAUUCAUUUGGUACGUGAAGUGAUAUGAAUGAAAUAAAAGAGUUUACAUUAAUAAAUCUA
Molecule: long non-coding RNA, 1809 nt
Organism: Athalia rosae (coleseed sawfly)
Lineage: Eukaryota; Metazoa; Arthropoda; Insecta; Hymenoptera; Athaliidae
Exons: 2
Source: RefSeq, a predicted model, not a curated record